Molecule: transfer RNA, 64 nt
Filed under: Meloimorpha japonica
Lineage: Eukaryota; Metazoa; Arthropoda; Insecta; Orthoptera; Phalangopsidae
Description: tRNA-Ser
Rfam family: tRNA
About the family: Transfer RNA (tRNA) molecules are approximately 80 nucleotides in length.
Source: RNAcentral
AGUUAAUAAGCUUAAUAGCAUUUGUUUUGAAAACAAAAGAUAGAAUAAAUAAUUCUAUUAACUU